AGAGUUUGAUCAUGGCUCAGGAUGAACGCUGGCGGCAGGCUUAAUACAUGCAAGUUGAACGGUAACAUGUUGUAGCAAUACGAUGAUGACGAGUGGCGCACGGGUGCGUAACACGUGUGUAACCUACCUUAUACAGGAACAUAACGUUGAGAAAUCGGCGCUAAUAUUCCAUAAUAUUAUUUAUAGGCAUCUAUAGAUAAUUAAAACCCCGGUGGUAUAAGAUGGGCACGCGUUCCAUUAGCUAGUUGGUAAGGUAACGGCUUACCAAGGCCACGAUGGAUAGGGGUUCUGAGAGGAUACACCCCCACACUGGAACUGAGACACGGUCCAGACUCCUACGGGAGGCAGCAGUAAGGAAUAUUGGGCAAUGGAGGCAACUCUGACCCAGCCAUGCCGCGUGCAGGAAGACGGCCCUACGGGUUGUAAACUGCUUUUAAUAGGGAGUAAAAUCAGCUACGUGUAGUUGAUUGCAAGUACCUAUAGAAUAAGCAUCGGCUAACUCCGUGCCAGCAGCCGCGGUAAUACGGAGGAUGCAAGCGUUAUCCGGAUUUAUUGGGUUUAAAGGGUGCGCAGGCGGACUAAUAAGUCAGUGGUGAAAUUUACAUGCUUAACAUGUAUCGUGCCAUUGAUACUGUUAGACUAGUAUACAAAUGACGUAGCUGGAAUGUGUUAUGUAGCGGUGAAAUGCAUAGAUAUAACACAGAACACCGAUCGUGAAGACAGGUUACGAAUUUGUUAUAGACGCUCAGGCACGAAAGCGUGGGGAUCAAACAGGAUUAGAUACCCUGGUAGUCCACGCUGUAAACGAUGAUAACUUGUUGUUGGGCACGUAGUGCUCAGUGGCUAAGCGAAAGCGAUAAGUUAUCUACCUGGGGAGUACGAUCGCAAGGUUGAAACUUAAAGGAAUUGACGG
RNAcentral lists this ribosomal RNA (913 nucleotides) under uncultured bacterium. Its description in RNAcentral is "bacterial SSU rRNA". It matches the Rfam family "Bacterial small subunit ribosomal RNA", at positions 8 to 916 of the family's 1533-position model. The record is from RNAcentral.